UUUUGUGGGGUGCUCGAGUGGCGAACGGGUGAGUAACACGUGAGUAACCUGCCCUUGACUUUGGGAUAACUUCAGGAAACUUGGGCUAAUACCGGAUAGGAGCUCCUGCUGCAUUGUGGGGUUGGAAAGUUUCGGCGGUUGGGAUGGACUCGCGGCUUAUCAGCUUGUUGGUGGGGUAGUGGCUUACCAAGGCUUUGACGGGUAGCCGGCCUGAGAGGGUGACCGGCCACAUUGGGACUGAGAUACGGCCCAG
This 253-nucleotide ribosomal RNA is filed under the name uncultured Actinomycetales bacterium. Its description in RNAcentral is "partial 16S ribosomal RNA". It matches the Rfam family "Bacterial small subunit ribosomal RNA", at positions 78 to 334 of the family's 1533-position model. Lineage: Bacteria; Bacillati; Actinomycetota; Actinomycetes; Actinomycetales. The record is from RNAcentral.